This is a long non-coding RNA of Tribolium madens (black flour beetle), 1202 nucleotides long. RefSeq lists it as uncharacterized. NCBI's taxonomy places the organism in Eukaryota, Metazoa, Arthropoda, Insecta, Coleoptera, Tenebrionidae. The transcript has 5 exons. The record is from RefSeq and is a predicted model, not a curated record.
AACGCAGUGAAAAGUGGAAGUGUUUGUGCUCAGUUUUUUUCAAUCCAGCAAACACAAAAUUUAUUUAUCUUAAUUUAAAUCUCAUUGAUUGCUGGCGGCUGGAAAAGGGGAAGCGUCGCGAUCCUCCAAGGACCCUUCAGAUUACCGAACUCCAAGGACUAGAGACAUAGCGUUUCUUAAACGCGGAUCGCGCAACAUCCACUAGUGCGCGGGAAAACUGGGCGUGAGAGGCGAUCGAUUGAGCAUCAGGGGCUUGCUGAAUCCCCACCCAUCAGGCAUCCCGACGGUGUCACAAGCCGAAGCUGUCACACAGCCGUCGUCAUCGUCCUCUGUCAACAAGAUGCGCGAGCUGAAAAAGUGAAACUCUCAUCACCGGUAAUCGGAGGUGAUAAUUACCACAACCACCUGACUGCAGGCCCAACCUACCAUAAGGUUCUUGACUUUGGCUGGAGCAAAAAGAAAGUACCAUCAUGCAUUCCGUCGCCGUUUGGAUUACACAGUCCGCAUGUCAACAUUGUCAACUGAUGUCAUCGAGUUUUUUCCACGUUUUUUCCGUUCUCCAGAGAUGAAUAAUAUGUGUUGUCUAAUCGGUAGAAUACAAAAAAUGAAGCAGAAAAUUUUCUCUAAAGAGAUCAAACAGUCCGCAACUAAUUUCAUUGUAAUUAAGAAAUAUAUGUGUGUUGGAUGAUUAAUGGAUUAAGGAAUUGAUUUCACAGUCACACACGAAGAUCUUAAGUGUUAAUUUAUUACAAAGAGCGAUAUAAUUAGGCUACGAUUGUGAAAGUGACAUAAGACGGAUGGUCGGUGAAUUGUUUAACAGUCACAAAAUUAAACGAGGAUGUUUUUGCUGAAGAUUAUUAAAAAAAAAAACGUCGCUUCACGUUAAUGCUCUACAUCUACCCUGUAGAUCCGAAUUUGUUUGAAAUCAGGCGACAAAUUCGGUUCUAGAGAGGUUUGUGUGGUGCAUACAUUGCAACGUGACUAAAAUAAAACUAAGUGUUAAUUUAGACUUAUUAUUUAAUAGACGAAUGCCAGUUCUUAGAUAUAAAUCAUCAUAAAAAUGUCAAAGCUGGGUAAUAGUUAAUAAAAAGCCGACAAUUAAACACAUAUUACUUAGUCAGUAUCAAAUGUCGCAGACAGAAAAUAUUUAUAAUAUAAAAAAAAUAGUUAAAUGUUUUGUAUAAUCAGAAAUUAAAAAUAAA